GCCCGAAUGGCUCAGUCGGUAGAGCAUCAGACUUUGAAUCUGAACACCUUAGGUUCAAGUCCCUGUUCGGGUG
Non-coding RNA from Manis pentadactyla (Chinese pangolin), 73 nucleotides. Lineage: Eukaryota; Metazoa; Chordata; Mammalia; Pholidota; Manidae. The record is from the annotation of a RefSeq genome assembly.